This is an RNA transcript of Nomascus leucogenys (northern white-cheeked gibbon), 3431 nucleotides long. It is a transcript of the gene named BICD family like cargo adaptor 1, with no coding region annotated. The record is from RefSeq and is a predicted model, not a curated record. The transcript has 12 exons. NCBI's taxonomy places the organism in Eukaryota, Metazoa, Chordata, Mammalia, Primates, Hylobatidae.
CGCGUGCCGCGGCGCGAGGCGAGGCGCGGGGCGCGGGGCGGCGCGGCGGGGCCCCUCCCCCCUGCAGCCUGGCGCGCGCGGGCCGGGCCGCACCGCUGCGGGCUCCGCGCGCGCGGGCCAUGUCCGCUUUCUGCCUGGGCUUGGCCGGCCGCGCUUCAGCACCCGCCGAGCCGGACAGCGCCUGCUGCAUGGAGCUGCCCGCCGCGGCCGGAGAGGCAGCCCGGAGUCCCGCCGCCGCCGCCCUCAUCUCCUUCCCCGGGGGCUCCGGGGAGCUAGAACUGGCGUUAGAGGAGGAGCUGGCGCUGCUGGCGGCCGGGGAGCGGCCGUCCGACCCCGGGGAACACCCUCAGGCCGAGCCUGGGUCUCUGGCCGAGGGGGCCGGACCGCAGCCGCCGCCCUCCCAGGACCCCGAGCUGCUGUCGGUGAUCCGGCAGAAGGAGAAGGAUCUGGUGUUGGCGGCCCGGCUGGGCAAGGCGCUGCUCGAGAGGAACCAGGACAUGAGCCGGCAGUACGAGCAGAUGCAUAAGGAGCUGACAGACAAGCUCGAGCACUUAGAGCAAGAGAAACAUGAAUUGAGAAGACGAUUUGAGAACCGAGAAGGGGAGUGGGAAGGCCGAGUGUCAGAGCUGGAGAGUGAUGUGAAGCAGCUACAGGAUGAGUUGGAGAGGCAGCAGGUUCAUCUGCGGGAAGCAGAUCGAGAAAAAACACGGGCUGUCCAGGAACUGUCAGAACAGAACCAAAGGCUACUGGAUCAGCUCAGCAGGGCAUCAGAAGUUGAGAGACAACUCUCCAUGCAGGUCCACGCCCUCAGAGAAGACUUUCGGGAGAAAAACUCAUCAACCAACCAGCACAUCAUCCGGCUGGAGAGCCUUCAGGCCGAGCAGGUCCUUGAAAUCAAGAUGCUGUCAGAUCGGAAACGGGAGCUGGAGCAUCGUCUCAGCGCUACUUUAGAGGAAAAUGACCUGCUCCAAGGGACCGUGGAGGAGCUACAGGACCGGGUGCUAAUCCUGGAGAGGCAGGGCCAUGACAAGGACCUACAGCUGCACCAAAGCCAGCUGGAGCUUCAGGAGGUGCGUCUCUCCUGCCGACAGCUGCAGGUGAAGGUGGAAGAACUCACUGAGGAGAGGAGUCUGCAGAGCUCUGCCACCACCAACACAUCCCUCCUGUCAGAGAUCGAGCAGAGCAUGGAGGCUGAGGAGCUGGAACAAGAGCGAGAGCAGCUGAGACUGCAGCUCUGGGAAGCCUACUGCCAGGUUCGCUAUCUGUGCUCACACCUUCGAGGCAAUGACAGUGCUGACUCAGCCGUCUCCACGGACUCCUCCAUGGACGAGUCUUCAGAAACCUCGUCCACCAAGGAUGUGCCAGCCGGCAGCUUGCGCACUGCCCUCAAUGAGCUCAAGAGACUGAUACAGAGCAUUGUGGAUGGCAUGGAGCCCACGAGCUCCCGGAGACUUGAUGAUGACUCCUUAGAAGAACAGAUAAGGCAGACCAGUGAGGACUCGAGAGCCCUAAGGGAGCUCAUGGAGGGAGAGAGGGGUAAACUGAGGCAAAGCCUAGAAGAGCUGCAGCGACUCCACAGUCAGGUGACACUGCUGAGUGUGGAGAUGACUGCCCUAAAAGAGGAGAGAGACCGACUCAGAGUCACAUCUGAGGACAAGGAACCAAAGGAGCAGCUUCAGAAGGCCAUCAGGGACCGCGACGAGGCCAUUGCAAAGAAGAACGCUGUGGAGCUGGAACUUGCCAAGUGCAGGAUGGAUAUGAUGUCUCUCAACAGCCAGUUGCUGGAUGCCAUUCAGCAGAAACUGAACCUCUCACAGCAGCUGGAAGCUUGGCAGUUUGCUUCCUCAGGGCUUUUUACUAUCUGGCUCCUUUGGUUUCUGAUCUAGUGGCCUUUCUCAGUUCCCGUAUCAACAGCUUUAGUUGUACACCCCUCCUGCCUUUGAGGAUGACAUGCACAGGGUCAUUGACCGGCAGCUGAUGGACACGCACCUGAAAGAAUGGAGCCAGCCGGCUGCCGCCCUCUGCAGGGGCCACAGCGCUGGGCGGGGGGAUGAGCCCAGCACCACUGAAGGCAAACGACUCUUCUCAUUCUUCAGGAAAAUUUAAGUUGGGAGGAGUCAGGCCACCAAAGAUGGGUGGACUGGAGGCAGCUGGAAAGGCCGUGCAGGCGAGGCCUCCCCUGCAGCUUGCACUCAGCAGCUGCCCUGCCCUUCAUGCUAGGGCCCCAUGGGUCCGGGAGGGCCUGCUCCCUUUCGUCAGUGGGGAUGGAGACCUAGAGGUGGGGGCCUGUCUUGGCCACUGAAGACUUCCCUCGGCCCACCGCCUGGCCAAGCCCACGCCUGGGCUUCUCCAGGACCCCGUGCUUGAGCAGGGUUAGGCCACCUCCCAGAGGGGCCCCUUGGUGUUGGGCUUUGCAGCUCACGCCCAACAGAUCGCAGCCCACCCCCAGGCACUGCUGCCUCCUCGACUUUAGCAAAUGGGGAACAGAAGGAAUGGAGGCCCUUCUCUGCAUGCCUCAGGAGGCCUGAGCCCCAGGGGCCUAGACCUGUGGGGGCAGCGGGCCAGGCCUAAGCCUCCAUUCCUUCCCCAGCCCCUGGCCCAGGGUAGAAGGGGAGAUGGCAGCCCCUCCCCCGCGUGCAUGCACCUUGGCUGGCAGGAGGCCAAGCCUCUGGCCGCAGGGUUUAAGAGACGGGGCUUACCCAAGCUCAGCUGAGGCCACCCGAGCCCCAGGGAGGAAGAAGGCCCUGUCCCCCGGUCGCCACUGCUCUCCCUCCCAGCCUUCAGUCUCUGCCCCUUAGCAGAGCCGGGCCAGGCAGAGUGUUGUCACCAGUCAUCUGCAGGCUUUAGCCAUCCAGCCCUUUCCCCUGCUCAAGGCUGGGGCUGGACGGGGUCUCCUCCUCCCACAGCUCCCUCCUCUACCCCUCACAUACGUAAUUUCUUGGCCCAGCCAAACAAGUCCAGGCCACAGAAUGGCACCAGAGGGAUCUGUGGUCAGCCACCCCACCUUGAGGGCAGCACAGGCACCACGGGGUGGAGGGGAGGGGGAGGCUGCCGGGAGCCUCUAGAUGCUGCCUGCCUGCCUGCAGAAGGCUGCAGCGGCUGCUGCUCCUGCCUCUGCAGCCGCCCCACCUCCUCCACCUAGGCCCCAACUCAGAGGCUCCAUGGCCUGGCCAGCCCUCAGCUGCUCACAACUGAUUCAGUCUCCCUCCCUCACGUGGGGAAAGCACAGCAGGGAUGCGCGGCAAGAAUGUACCUGUAGAUGUGUACAUACCACAGUGCUGUAAUUUUGUAUGUAGCAAUCAUGUAAAUACAUGUAUGGAUUUUAUAAUAUACAUAUAUAAAAAUCUAUAAAGGCAUAUUUUUAGAAAAACAGCACACCACUGCUUCUUUUGAAAAUAGUCUGAAUAAGAAUAAAAUGAAUUUCUACAGAG